This is a non-coding RNA of Xylariaceae sp. FL0016, 119 nucleotides long. NCBI's taxonomy places the organism in Eukaryota, Fungi, Ascomycota, Sordariomycetes, Xylariales, Xylariaceae. The record is from the annotation of a GenBank genome assembly.
UUCCUCUUAGCUCAACGGUGGAGCGUGUUCCGGCAGCCUUGCGCGUCUUUCGAUAAAAUUCGCAACUCGCGUUCAGGCAAGCUCGGGACAAGGUCUGGGUUCGAAUCCCAGAGGGGAUG